RNAcentral lists this ribosomal RNA (467 nucleotides) under uncultured bacterium. Its description in RNAcentral is "partial 16S ribosomal RNA". It matches the Rfam family "Bacterial small subunit ribosomal RNA", at positions 28 to 506 of the family's 1533-position model. The record is from RNAcentral.
GACGAACGCUGGCGGCGUGCUUAACACAUGCAAGUCGAACGGAAAGGCCCUGCUUUUGUGGGGUGCUCGAGUGGCGAACGGGUGAGUAACACGUGAGUAGCCUGCCCUUGACUUUGGGAUAACUUCAGGAAACUGGGGCUAAUACCGGAUAGGAGCUCCUGCUGCAUGGUGGGGGUUGGAAAGUUUCGGCGGUUGGGGAUGGACUCGCGGCUUAUCAGCUUGUUGGUGGGGUAGUGGCUUACCAAGGCUUUGACGGGUAGCCGGCCUGAGAGGGUGACCGGCCACAUUGGGACUGAGAUACGGCCCAGACUCCUACGGGAGGCAGCAGUGGGGAAUAUUGCACAAUGGGCGGAAGCCUGAUGCAGCAACGCCGCGUGCGGGAUGACGGCCUUCGGGUGGUAAACCGCUUUCGCCUGUGACGAAGCGUGAGUGACGGUAAUGGGUAAAGAAGCACCGGCUAACUACGG